GACGAACGCUGGCGGCGUGCUUAACACAUGCAAGUCGUACGGUAAGGCCCUUUCGGGGGUACACGAGUGGCGAACGGGUGAGUAACACGUGAGUAACCUGCCCACAACUUUGGGAUAACGCUAGGAAACUGGUGCUAAUACUGGAUAUGUGCUCCUGCUGCAUGGUGGGGGUUGGAAAGCUCCGGCGGUUGUGGAUGGACUCGCGGCCUAUCAGCUUGUCGGUGGGGUAGUGGCCUACCAAGGCGGCGACGGGUAGCCGGCCUGAGAGGGUGACCGGCCACAUUGGGACUGAGAUACGGCCCAGACUCCUACGGGAGGCAGCAGUGGGGAAUAUUGCACAAUGGGCGCAAGCCUGAUGCAGCAACGCCGCGUGCGGGAUGACGGCCUUCGGGUUGUAAACCGCUUUCAGCAGGGACGAAGCUUUUUGUGACGGUACCUGCAGAAGAAGCACCGGCUAACUACGUG
This 465-nucleotide ribosomal RNA is filed under the name uncultured bacterium. RNAcentral describes it as "partial 16S ribosomal RNA". It matches the Rfam family "Bacterial small subunit ribosomal RNA", at positions 28 to 507 of the family's 1533-position model. The record is from RNAcentral.